AUGAACGCUGGCGGCGUGCCUAACACAUGCAAGUGACGAAGCACAAGACAGAAUCUCGGAGGAAGAUUGAUUGACUGAGUGGCGGACGGGUGAGUAACGCGUGGGUAACCUGCCUUGUACAGGGGGAUAACAGUUAGAAAUGACUGCUAAUACCGCAUAAGCGCACAGUGCUGCAUGGUACAGUGUGAAAAACUCCGGUGGUACAAGAUGGACCCGCGUCUGAUUAGCCAGUUGGCAGGGUAACGGCCUACCAAAGCAACGAUCAGUAGCCGACUUGAGAGAGUGAUCGGCCACAUUGGGACUGAGACACGGCCCAGACUCCUACGGGAGGCAGCAGUGGGGGAUAUUGCACAAUGGAGGAAACUCUGAUGCAGCAACGCCCGCGUGAGUGAUGAAGUAGUUCGCUACGUAAAGCUCUAUCAGUAGGGAAGAUAAUGACGGUACCUACACAAGAAGCUCCGGCUAAAUACGUGCCAGCAGCAGC
This 484-nucleotide ribosomal RNA is filed under the name uncultured bacterium. Its description in RNAcentral is "bacterial SSU rRNA". It matches the Rfam family "Bacterial small subunit ribosomal RNA", at positions 29 to 518 of the family's 1533-position model. The record is from RNAcentral.